RNAcentral lists this ribosomal RNA (406 nucleotides) under uncultured bacterium. Its description in RNAcentral is "partial 16S ribosomal RNA". It matches the Rfam family "Bacterial small subunit ribosomal RNA", at positions 30 to 526 of the family's 1533-position model. The record is from RNAcentral.
AUUGAACGCUGGCGGCAGGCCUAACACAUGCAAGUCGAACGAGUGGCGGACGGGUGAGUAAUGUCUGGGAAACUGCCCGAUGGAGGGGGAUAACUACUGGAAACGGUAGCUAAUACCGCAUACCCUCGGAUGUGCCCAGAUGGGAUUAGCUAGUAGGUGGGGUAACGGCUCACCUAGGCGACGAUCCCUAGCUGGUCUGAGAGGAUGACCAGCCACACUGGAACUGAGACACGGUCCAGACUCAUACGGGAGGCAGCAGUGGGGAAUAUUGCACAAUGGGCGCAAGCCUGAUGCAGCCAUGCCGCGUGUAUGAAGAAGGCCUUCGGGGUGUAAAGUACUUUCAGCGGGGAGGCGUUACCCGCAGAAGAAGCACCGGCUAACUCCGUGCCAGCAGCCGCGGUAAUUC